Molecule: ribosomal RNA, 694 nt
Filed under: uncultured Bacilli bacterium
Lineage: Bacteria; Bacillati; Bacillota; Bacilli
Description: bacterial SSU rRNA
Rfam family: Bacterial small subunit ribosomal RNA
Source: RNAcentral
CAAGUAGAACGCUGAAGGAGGAGCUUGCUCUUCUGGAUGAGUUGCGAACGGGUGAGUAACGCGUAGGUAACCUGCCUGGUAGCGGGGGAUAACUAUUGGAAACGAUAGCUAAUACCGCAUAACAGUAGAUGUUGCAUGACAUUUGCUUAAAAGGUGCAAUUGCACCACUACCAGAUGGACCUGCGUUGUAUUAGCUAGUUGGUGGGGUAACGGCUCACCAAGGCGACGAUACAUAGCCGACCUGAGAGGGUGAUCGGCCACACUGGGACUGAGACACGGCCCAGACUCCUACGGGAGGCAGCAGUAGGGAAUCUUCGGCAAUGGACGGAAGUCUGACCGAGCAACGCCGCGUGAGUGAAGAAGGUUUUCGGAUCGUAAAGCUCUGUUGUAAGAGAAGAACGAGUGUGAGAGUGGAAAGUUCACACUGUGACGGUAGCUUACCAGAAAGGGACGGCUAACUACGUGCCAGCAGCCGCGGUAAUACGUAGGUCCCGAGCGUUGUCCGGAUUUAUUGGGCGUAAAGCGAGCGCAGGCGGUUAGAUAAGUCUGAAGUUAAAGGCUGUGGCUUAACCAUAGUACGCUUUGGAAACUGUUUAACUUGAGUGCAAGAGGGGAGAGUGGAAUUCCAUGUGUAGCGGUGAAAUGCGUAGAUAUAUGGAGGAACACCGGUGGCGAAAGCGGCUCUCUGGCUUGU